Molecule: long non-coding RNA, 2246 nt
Organism: Brassica napus (rape)
Lineage: Eukaryota; Viridiplantae; Streptophyta; Magnoliopsida; Brassicales; Brassicaceae
Exons: 4
Source: RefSeq, a predicted model, not a curated record
AAACCUUACUCUAUCCUAUUUUCAUUUUAAUAUAAAAUAAAAUGAUAACCCAAAAACUCAAAAGAAAACAGCCCACAGAAAAGUUUGUCGACAUAGAAAAAGGAUCGCCAGUGCUCACUAUUCUUCGUAUUCUUCCACUUUCCUCAAUCGUAUCGUCGCCAUUGAAAGCAAAAGAAGCUUGGACACUGAAAAGCCCAAAAAAGACCAACGUUUCAUCUACAGAGCUUAAAAAACCGUUUUCAAUCCAAAACUUCUCAUUCAAUUCCAAAUCAUUUAACUCACUAUGUAUCAUCACUGUAAUUCCCACUCCGGUCGUUUCAUGUUUAUAUCAACUUCCUUUAUAAAUUUAGGGUUAGAAACUCGAACCACACCCCAUCAUAAAAAAAAAACUGCACUCAUCUAUUAGUCACCGUUCCUGCUUCUGCGCCUUACGUCACUUAGACAAUAUGCAUCUCGGACGGUCUUCCCAACAGAUUUUUAAGCCACGCAUCCGUUUCUGGCCAUAGGGUAGUGGUGAUCUUUCAAUAGUGCAAGAAACUCUGCUGUAUAUGAAGAACUCAUGGAGAACUGAGGUAUGAAUGAUGUUCUUUUUACUGACUUUUGGCAGGUGAAUUUUCGGAAUCUAAAGAUGGCGUGGUGAGUCUCGCGACUUUCCCUGAUAUCCACCCCGAUUCUAGAGAAGAGCUCUUUGGUCCACGUAUUCAUCCAAGCAGCAUGAGCCAACCACUACCGGCAUAUCUUAGAAGAAGGUCUCAACUUCAACAUUGGAUCACAGAGUUUUCAAAGUCUUCCGAUGACAGAACUCUACAAAAUCAUCAACCACUCUUUCAUCAUCUGAUUCAUCCCUUCCACAACAACCACCAGCUUGACUACCUUCAAGCACCGGAACACCUUAUCAGCGAUAAGGUGAGGUUGCAUAUAUGACAACUGACAAGGACAAUGUGGAGACUGACUAAAAAUAGUUCUUAAUGAAAAUAGGUUCUUUUACAACGGAGGCUGUGGUAGAGUCGAGAGACACAAGGGAUGGUGUUCAACAUGAGAAUGAAAUUACCUCUAAAGCGUUCAGGACAUGUAAUAUGUUUUACCUAGCUAAUAGCCAUGGAAUAUAUAUGUACGAUCAAAAUAAGAACACAUUACAUUUAUGAGGGGAAUCAACUGUGAAACUCAAAUACAUUGGAAAAUAUCACAAUGUUUUACUAGAGUUAAAGAAGGAAGGAAAAAAACAAAUAUGUCUAGACAAGAAUAAAAUGUGAUGAUUUUGGGAGUUGGUGGAAUUGAUGGUCAAGGGAAAUUGUGGUAAGCGAACAAAUCGGCAAAAAAGAAUGAUCAGGGGGCACAACAACAAAAUUGAAGAACUAUAACAGUUGGUUUAGAAAGUUGAAUUAUCACAAGAACCACUCAAACUCUUAACAAAGAUAAAAAAAAAAAUAUUAGUGUUUAGGCUAAACAAAACAAUAAAGCCCAGAAAAAUAUGUUAUAUUAUUUUCGACGUACAAAUAUUAUUCUCGACAUGAUACCCGUGCUUUCGCGGAGCUAAGACUCCUAGUUACUUUUUUUUUUUUGAACAUAAACCCCCCUAGUUACUUUAAUAUUUAAUUAUCCGAGUUGCCAGUGGUUAAUAAUAGAAAUCCUGAGCUUUGACCAAAAAAAUAAAAAUAAUAAUAAUAGAAAUCAUGAACAACAUGCGGGUAUGUCUAAUCUAAUGAGGUAGGUUUCUUGUUAUGUUCAUAACUCAACGUUAUAAAAUAAUUACAAUUCACGAUUUUUUAAACAUGCGGUAUAGUUGUAAUAUCUUCACACAUGUAGACGGAUCCCCUCUUCGUUGUUAUUUUACUCACAAUAAACGGAUCCGCUUCGUUGUCUUUAUAUUGCAUGUACCAACUCGAGUACAGCUACACAUGUAUAUUAUUUAUAAUCAAAAUUCAUCACGCAAUGAUUUGCCUGAUUAGUAGAUAUAAUCAUAUGGAUAUAAUGACAAAAUUUGGGUUUUAACAUAACAGACUGUUACACAGUAACAUAAAAAUCGACAAGUAUAUUUUUUUUUGCCAUCUUAUCUUAUUUUAUUAUGUUAUAAAAGACCAAAACCCAUACAGUACAAAACCCCAAAAAAACCAUACAGAUACAAAGUCCAAACUAUAGGUAAAGUAAAGAACUAAAGAUGGGCUUCGAAGCCCAAACAUAAGAACCCGAAACCAACCAAACCAACUCGACAAACACGCAUCGAGAUAUUUUAAACGAGAAAAACA